AGUUCAUGCAUAUAUUAUGACAACAUUUUGACGUUUUGGUUCAGCUAUUCGAUCACCACACCAUUUUUUUUAUUGAUGAAAGUCAGUAGCUGAAGUAUACGCCCCUUCGUCAAUGAUUGGUCAACAGAACUACUCCUAGUAGGAGUGGGAAUUAUGGAAGGGAUUCUUCAAUUAAGUGUUUGUCGUCAUUCAACGAGAGUGUGUUCACAGCUCUCCCUGCGCUGUGAGUCUUGUGAGCCAGGCUACCAGAGAGCCUGGAGCUAGAGGAUAAGUGCACUAACUCCUGUGCCAUAAAGGCUCGGACCUCUUGGCACCAUUGUCCUAUGGUUUGUGUAGAGCAGCCCUGAGAUGAACUGGGACAACCAGCUGAGCUCCAUCUUCUCAGCAGCUGAUGGCAGCGUGGCCAAGAUGAGGCCCUCCACCGCUGUUCUCCCCCUCCGUGAUGCAGUGGGCAGACCUGGCAGCCGUCCAAUCACAACUGCAGGUCCAGGCCCUAGAGUCUCCGACUCAGUCUUCAUGACAUGGACAGAGGGAGACACUCAGCAGUGCCACAUACAGGCACUACAAGAUGAGAUUCGCUGGCUGUGAGAGCAGGCGAUGGAGAAAGAGCAGGAACGAGAGCGGGAUGGAGAGAGAAGGUCAGGGACAGUGAGUCUGGGAGUGGAGAGGAGGAGAGAGCAAUGGAGGAGAGAGGAGGGCCGUGAGCUCAGCACUUUAAGAAGGCACAUCACCAGAGCCCACUAGAAACGACCUGGGGAAUAGUUACAGCGAAGAGGAGGGGGGAUGAAUCAGCCAAUUGUAAGCUGGGAUGAUUAGGUGGCCAUGAUGGUACAGUAUGAAGACCAGAUUGGGAAUUUAGCCAGGACACCGGGAUUAACACCCCUACUCUUACGAUAAGUGCCAUUGGCACCACUGCCCUGGGGCAUUGGGAUAAAAAAAAGAAUUUGACCAGAGGAAAGGGUGCCUCCUACUGGCCCUCCAACACCACAUCUGAACUGCAAAUGGAGGAGUUGGAUCAUCUGAGGAGAGAGAUGGACCCACUCAAACUCUGCUCUCAGUAUGCGUGUGACAGGGAGGCAUGAGGAGGACAUGUUUCUUCAGCAGUCAGAGGCCAAAGAGAUGAGGGGCCAGUAUGAACGCAGCGGCAAGGGCAUCUGUAUCAGAGCUGAAGGACGAGAUCAGGAGUCUGAUUCUCAAGGAGAGACAACACCGACUUUUACAACACGCACAGCAGGCAAAAUACAAACACACAUACUCACCUGAGUGGUUUAACCCUCUGUUUCUCUUUAACCUGCUUUUUGGCAAUUCAUAUAUGGAGCUACUAAUACAGGGGUGCAAAUUAACUACCAUUCAACUCAACUCAAAUCGAACCACUUGGUUUCAACUAUGACUUUAGUCCCGUUGAUACAGAUGAGUGGCAUGACAACUAACCCCUUGACUUGCUGGUCUGCAACCAACAAAUCUGUAAACUACAGGGCGGUGUCCCAAGCAGGAACUCUAAGUCAGCUAACUUUGAUAAACAUUCAGAAAUAUAAAUAACUAUUGCUAAUUAGUUAAAGGUCAACUUGUAUGUGCUGUUGUGAGUGUUGAGUCAGUUAAACCAUUACUAUUUCUAUCUAUCUACCAGUAUCUUUAUGAAGUCCGAAAUAUGAAGUUAUUUCAGAAUAUUUAGGAGAGUUUUCUGGCUCCCUUUGAUCCUGCAUUGUGACACACACAGCUAGUCUCCCCAAUAAGGUGGGGGUAGGGAAGGAACGUGUAGUGGUGUUCUUCUUUCCUUUGUGUCUCACACACACACACACACACACACACACACACCUCAGUAUUCACCUCCCCUGCACAUGGACAGGGGAGUAUCCUCCAUCACAUCAUCCUAAACAGGGGAAAACGCAACAGGAUAUCAGCAGGAACACGAGUAAACGCUGAACGGUUAGCACUGAUCCAGAUGACAGGCGGCAGGUCCUGGAGCGUGUGGAACUCAGGCCGCUGGUCCCGUCAUUGCAGUUUAAUGAAAUGGAGCAGGGUGACGAUGGCUGCAGUGACGAUGAAGGCUGACACUAGUCCAGCUAGGAGAGGGUCCAGGGCAGGAGCGCCAUUAUGGAACACUGGCUCCCCUGCUGAGCAACAGAGAAGACCUCAGCAAGACUACAAAUUCCGGCAGGCAGCUCCUGCAUGUCAUCUCCAGCCAACACUGUCAGUUACCGUUCACCAGCACGCUAUCAGAGACCUUUUGUGCCCAAUCCAUGAUGAAUCCAUGCGCUGUACUGAAAGUAAUUGAAUAAAGUUUUGAACUUCUUA
Molecule: long non-coding RNA, 2295 nt
Filed under: Salmo salar (Atlantic salmon)
Lineage: Eukaryota; Metazoa; Chordata; Actinopteri; Salmoniformes; Salmonidae
Description: lncRNA (ENSSSAG00000119396.1)
Source: RNAcentral